Molecule: ribosomal RNA, 840 nt
Filed under: uncultured crenarchaeote
Lineage: Archaea; Thermoproteati; Thermoproteota
Description: bacterial SSU rRNA
Rfam family: Archaeal small subunit ribosomal RNA
Source: RNAcentral
GCAGACGGCUCAGUAACGCGUAGUCAACCUACCCUAUGGACGGGGAUAACCUCGGGAAACUGAGAAUAACACCCGAUAGAACAUUAUGCCUGGAAUGGUUUAUGUUUCAAAUAAUUUAUUGCCGUAGGAUGGGACUGCGGCCUAUCAGUUUGUUGGUGAGGUAAUGGCCCACCAAGACUAUUACAGGUACGGGCUCUGAGAGGAGUAGCCCGGAGAUGGGUACUGAGACACGGACCCAGGCCCUAUGGGGCGCAGCAGGCGAGAAAACUUUGCAAUGUGCGAAAGCACGACAAGGUUAAUCCGAGUGGUUUCUGCUAAAGGAACCUUUUGUCAGUCCUAGAAACACUGAUGAAUAAGGGGUGGGCAAGUUCUGGUGUCAGCCGCCGCGGUAAAACCAGCACCUCAAGUGGUCAGGAUGAUUAUUGGGCCUAAAGCAUCCGUAGCCUGCUUUGCCAGUUUUCGGUUAAAUCCAUACGCUCAACGUAUGGGCUGCCGGGAAUACUACAAAGCUAGGGAGUGGGAGAGGUAGACGGUACUCGGUAGGAAGGGGUAAAAUCCUUUGAUCUAUUGAUGACCACCUGUGGCGAAGGCGGUCUACCAGAACACGUCCGACGGUGAGGGAUGAAAGCUGGGGGAGCAAACCGGAUUAGAUACCCGGGUAGUCCCAGCUGUAAACUAUGCAAACUCAGUGAUGCAUUGGCUUGAUGCCAAUGCAGUGCUGCAGGGAAGCCGUUAAGUUUGCCGCCUGGGAAGUACGUACGCAAGUAUGAAACUUAAAGGAAUUGGCGGGGGAGCACCACAAGGGGUGAAGCCUGCGGUUCAAUUGGAGUCAACGCCGGA